This is a non-coding RNA of Pelobates cultripes (western spadefoot toad), 900 nucleotides long. The record is from the annotation of a GenBank genome assembly. NCBI's taxonomy places the organism in Eukaryota, Metazoa, Chordata, Amphibia, Anura, Pelobatidae.
GAAUUAAAAUAUAUAUAUCAGGUCACCAAGGACGGCAUAGCACGCCCCCACCAUCCUUAAGGGGUUAAAGAACAUGGAAACUUCACCUAGACCACUUAAUUCAGAUAAAGUGGUCUGGGUGACUACAGUGUUCCGUUAAGUGAAUACAAUGGAAUGUGGUGUUAGCUUUUGAAAUACAGCAUUGCAGAAAGUGGGUACAUUCUGAAAGAAGCAGGUCAUAGCACAUAAUCAUUGUGUCAAACAGAAUUUUAUUUGCAGCAAUGACCAUGCUUCAUCCAGCUACUAUUACAGCAGUGUCCCUAAUCCCUAUCUACAACUGCAGAAAUGGCACUCAACUACAGCAGUAACAGGAACCAUGGAGACAACAGCAGAAGAAGCAGUAAUAGAGAUUCACACAAUUGCAGGAAUCCAAAUGAUGGCAGAGGCAGCAGCAAUCCAUGCAGUACAAAGCUUAAAACACCAGUGGCAGUGCACAGGUCCCGCAGUCCAACUGCAGCAGAGACAAUAAUCCAUAUGGCGGCAUUAGCAGCGCUCUACUGGUAAUGUAGGCCAUGCAGUGCUAUGAUAGUGUUAGCACAUAGCAGCAGGAAAUUAUUGUAAGGUGGUUUUGGACACAAGUAAGGGCCAUAUGCUGCUGGUGUGGACUGCCCAUGACCAGACCCUGAAAAUGCUCCUUAAAACAUCGGAAAAAGCAGCAGAGAUCCAUCCUCCAUAAACCAUUAUUCAGAAACAACCAAUCUGGAAUUAAAUCAUAAUGGUUUGUUAAGCAAAGUACAAUUCGAACAACGUGUAUGUUUAAUGGAAUGAGAAGUGCAUACAGAUACUUAUCCAUCAGGUAAAACCAUAAGGAAGGCAUUUGAUUGGCUCUGAAUGUAUUCUGCAGCAUGACCCUAAACAUAC